RNA transcript from Triticum dicoccoides, 723 nucleotides. RefSeq lists it as uncharacterized. Lineage: Eukaryota; Viridiplantae; Streptophyta; Magnoliopsida; Poales; Poaceae. The transcript is spliced from 3 exons. The record is from RefSeq and is a predicted model, not a curated record.
UUUGAGCGAGAGCCGGACCCGGGCUCGUGACCGAACGCGAUACUAUGUCAGAACCCAAAUGCUGGGCGACACGCGCGCGAUCCAGCCGUGCACGCUGGGAGACGCACAUUCCGCGCUCUCUCUCUCACCCCGUGCAGCGACUAGGGGAGAUGAAAUCCUUUCUUCGGCGAGCGUGGCCGGCGUAGUCCGGCGACGACGGGCCAAGGGGACGGGGUGCGAGCCGGCAGUAGAUGGGCACCACAUCGGCAGGCGAAGGGCGCGCGCACGUGAGGACAGAUGGGGACAGGAGAAGCUGGUCAGCGGCCUGAGGAUGGCGUGCGUCAGCAAGGCGGACUGCUACGUCUCCGGGGGAAGGAGACAUACUUCCAGAAUGGCAACUUUGUCGGAAGUGAUGUAGACAAACUUCAACUGGGCGACAAAGAAGCUCAGCGGAUGUGAAUAAAGGCCAGGUGCAAGACGGUAAAAUAACACCAAACAAGAGCUCAGGAUCUCUCUAACAUCCAGGUUCAACAAGCAAAGGGGUGCGACAAUAAUAGGCUCACCAUUGUAAAAGAUCCAAAAUCAAGCUGCAAAAACGUGGGUGUAUAGUAGAGUUUUUGCACACUACAAAGGAAUCAUGCUUCUUCUUUUCUUUUUGCAAAAGAGAGUUGGACCUUUACCUGGUGAUUUGGUGGAAUUUUUUGCCUGAUUGCUGACAAAUUGUUCUAGACUAUUUCCACUAGA